GUCCUCGAUGGCUCAGUUGGAUAGAGUGUCUGCCAUGUAAGUAGGAGAUCCUGGGUUCGAGUCCCAGUCAGGGCA
Molecule: transfer RNA, 75 nt
Filed under: Schistocerca americana (American grasshopper)
Lineage: Eukaryota; Metazoa; Arthropoda; Insecta; Orthoptera; Acrididae
Also listed under: 2 other names
Description: tRNA-Thr
Rfam family: tRNA
About the family: Transfer RNA (tRNA) molecules are approximately 80 nucleotides in length.
Source: RNAcentral